Pelobates cultripes (western spadefoot toad) is the source of this 797-nucleotide non-coding RNA. NCBI's taxonomy places the organism in Eukaryota, Metazoa, Chordata, Amphibia, Anura, Pelobatidae. The record is from the annotation of a GenBank genome assembly.
GGGUUUGCAGUCAGGUAGUUGGUGAGUUCGUGGGUUGCAGUUCGGGAGUUGGUGAGUUCGUGGGUUGCAGUUCGGUAGUUGGUGAGUUCGUGGGUUGCAGUUCGGGAGUUGGUGAGUUCGUGGGUUGCAGUUCGGUAGUUGGUGAGUUCGUGGGUUGCAGUUCGGUAGUUGGUGAGUUCGUGGGUUGCAGUUCGGUAGUUGGUGAGUUCGUGGGUUGCAGUUCGGUAGUUGGUGAGUUCGUGGGUUGCAGUUCGGGAGUUGGUGAGUUCGUGGGUUGCAGUUCGGGAGUUGGUGAGUUCGUGGGUUGCAGUUCGGGAGUUGGUGAGUUCGUGGGUUGCAGUUCGGGAGUUGGUGAGUUCGUGGCUGUGCCCGGUAGUUGGUGAGCUCCGGGGUUGCAGUUCGAGUUGGUGAGUUCGCUGGUUGCAGUUCGAGCAGAGUCGUGGGCUGCAGUUCGGUAGUUGGUGAGUCUGCGGCUGCAGUUCCCGGUAGUUGGUGAGUCUCGGGUUGCAGUUCGGUAGUUGGUGAGUCUGCGGGGCUGCAGUUCGUAGUUGGUGGUGCCCGGGUUGCAGUUCGGUGAAGCGGUGAGUCUGGGUGGGUUGCAGUUCGGUAGGCUGGGCGAGUUCGUGGGUUUGCAGUCAGGUAGUUGGUGAAUUCGUGGGUUUGCAGUUCGGUAGUUGGUGAGUUCGUGGGUUUGCAGUCAGGUAGUUGGUGAAUUUGUGGGUUUGCAGUUCGGUAGUUGGUGAGUUCGUGGGUUUUCAGUCAGGUAGUUGGUGAAUUCAUGUAGUUUGCAGUUCGGG